This 137-nucleotide small nucleolar RNA is filed under the name Ornithorhynchus anatinus (platypus). The record is from RNAcentral. Lineage: Eukaryota; Metazoa; Chordata; Mammalia; Monotremata; Ornithorhynchidae.
UCCCUCUCAGGGUCACACCUGGAGAGUUUCCAGUACUCUACCAGUUUCAGCUAUGGGAGGGAGAGUCAAGCAGGGCAUACCUAUUCCAUUCCUAGCUUAAGCAGUGGCUAGCGAGUGGAAGGCAAUCUGCUACAAGU